RNAcentral lists this ribosomal RNA (464 nucleotides) under Vreelandella stevensii. RNAcentral's name for it is "partial 16S ribosomal RNA". It matches the Rfam family "Bacterial small subunit ribosomal RNA", at positions 338 to 794 of the family's 1533-position model. The record is from RNAcentral. Lineage: Bacteria; Pseudomonadati; Pseudomonadota; Gammaproteobacteria; Oceanospirillales; Halomonadaceae.
CCUACGGGGGGCUGCAGUGGGGAAUAUUGGACAAUGGGGGGAACCCUGAUCCAGCCAUGCCGCGUGUGUGAAGAAGGCCCUCGGGUUGUAAAGCACUUUCAGUGAGGAAGAACGCCUGGUGGUUAAUACCCAUCAGGAAAGACAUCACUCACAGAAGAAGCACCGGCUAACUCCGUGCCAGCAGCCGCGGUAAUACGGAGGGUGCGAGCGUUAAUCGGAAUUACUGGGCGUAAAGCGCGCGUAGGUGGCUUGAUAAGCCGGUUGUGAAAGCCCCGGGCUCAACCUGGGAACGGCAUCCGGAACUGUCAAGCUAGAGUGCAGGAGAGGAAGGUAGAAUUCCCGGUGUAGCGGUGAAAUGCGUAGAGAUCGGGAGGAAUACCAGUGGCGAAGGCGGCCUUCUGGACUGACACUGACACUGAGGUGCGAAAGCGUGGGUAGCAAACAGGAUUAGAUACCCGAGUAUC